RNAcentral lists this transfer RNA (73 nucleotides) under Haemaphysalis longicornis (longhorned tick). It matches the Rfam family "tRNA". From Rfam's summary of the family: Transfer RNA (tRNA) molecules are approximately 80 nucleotides in length. Their secondary structure includes four short double-helical elements and three loops (D, anti-codon, and T loops). Lineage: Eukaryota; Metazoa; Arthropoda; Arachnida; Ixodida; Ixodidae. The record is from Rfam by way of RNAcentral.
CCGCCGGUAGCGUAGUGGUUAUCGUAACAGACCGGUAAUCUGGAGGUCGUGGGUUCGGAUCCCACCCGGCGGG